Molecule: ribosomal RNA, 460 nt
Filed under: uncultured bacterium
Lineage: Bacteria
Description: partial 16S ribosomal RNA
Rfam family: Bacterial small subunit ribosomal RNA
Source: RNAcentral
CCUACGGGAGGCUGCAGUGAGGAAUAUUGGUCAAUGGACGAGCGUCUGAACCAGCCAAGUAGCGUGAAGGAUGACUGCCCUAUGGGUUGUAAACUUCUUUUAUAUGGGAAUAAAAUGUUCCACGUGUGGGAUUUUGUAUGUACCAUAUGAAUAAGGAUCGGCUAACUCCGUGCCAGCAGCCGCGGUAAUACGGAGGAUCCGAGCGUUAUCCGGAUUGAUUGGGUGUAAAGGGAGCGUAGGUGGAUUGUUAAGUCAGUUGUGAAAGUUUGCGGCUCAACCGUAAAAUUGCAGUUGAAACUGGCAGUCUUGAGUACAGUAGAGGUGGGCGGAAUUCGUGGUGUAGCGGUGAAAUGCUUAGAUAUCACGAAGAACUCCGAUUGCGAAGGCAGCUCACUGGACUGCAACUGACACUGAGGCUCGAAAGUGUGGGUAUCAAACAGGAUUAGAUACCCCAGUAGUC